Molecule: small nuclear RNA, 22 nt
Filed under: Arabidopsis thaliana (thale cress)
Lineage: Eukaryota; Viridiplantae; Streptophyta; Magnoliopsida; Brassicales; Brassicaceae
Description: snRNA_06121
Source: RNAcentral
AUAGAGCAUAUGGAUGAACCAU